ACCUGGGUAGCUCAGUCGGUUGAGCAUCUGACUUCAGCUCAGAUCAUAAUCUCGCGGGUG
This 60-nucleotide transfer RNA is filed under the name Felis catus (domestic cat). RNAcentral also lists the same sequence under 2 other names. Lineage: Eukaryota; Metazoa; Chordata; Mammalia; Carnivora; Felidae. The record is from Rfam by way of RNAcentral.